This 253-nucleotide ribosomal RNA is filed under the name uncultured bacterium. RNAcentral describes it as "partial 16S ribosomal RNA". It matches the Rfam family "Bacterial small subunit ribosomal RNA", at positions 524 to 776 of the family's 1533-position model. The record is from RNAcentral.
UACGGAGGGUGCAAGCGUUAUUCGGAAUCACUGGGCGUAAAGGGAGAGUAGGCGGCCUAGUAAGUCAGAUGUGAAAUCCCGGGGCUCAACCUCGGACGUGCAUUUGAAACUACUAGGCUAGAGAUCGGUAGAGGCUAGCGGAAUUCCUAGUGUAGAGGUGAAAUUCGUAGAUAUUAGGAGGAACACCAGUGGCGAAGGCGGCUGGCUGGGCCGAUACUGACGCUGAGGCUCGAAAGCGUGGGGAGCAAACAGG